CCUACGGGAGGCUGCAGUAGGGAAUUUUCGUCAAUGGGCGCAAGCCUGAACGAGCAAUGCCGCGUGAACGAGGAAGGUCUUCGGAUCGUAAAGCUCUGUUGAAGGGGAAAAAGAGCGGAGAGAGGAAAUGGUCUCCGAUUGAUAUUACCCUUCGAGGAAGUCACGGCUAACUACGUGCCAGCAGCCGCGGUAAUACGUAGGUGGCGAGCGUUAUCCGGAAUGAUUGGGGGUAAAGGGUGCGUAGGCGGCCUGCUAAGUCUGGAGGGAAAGGUACCGGCUCAACCGGGACAGGCUCUGGAAACUGGCGGGCUAGAGUGCAGGAGAGGGAGGUGGAAUGCCAUGUGUAGCGGUAAAAUGCGUAGAUAUAAGGAAGAACACCAGUGGCGAAGGCGGCCGCCUGGCCUGUGACUGACGCUGAGGCACGAAAGCGUGGGGAGCAAAUAGGAUUAGAUACCCUUGUAGUC
This 464-nucleotide ribosomal RNA is filed under the name uncultured bacterium. Its description in RNAcentral is "partial 16S ribosomal RNA". It matches the Rfam family "Bacterial small subunit ribosomal RNA", at positions 338 to 795 of the family's 1533-position model. The record is from RNAcentral.